UUUCUUUGGAGAGUUUGAUCCUGGCUCAGGACGAACGCUGGCGGCGUGCCUAAUACAUGCAAGUCGAGCGGGC
RNAcentral lists this ribosomal RNA (73 nucleotides) under Geobacillus thermopakistaniensis. RNAcentral describes it as "Geobacillus sp. MAS1 partial 16S ribosomal RNA". It matches the Rfam family "Bacterial small subunit ribosomal RNA", at positions 1 to 71 of the family's 1533-position model. The record is from RNAcentral. Lineage: Bacteria; Bacillati; Bacillota; Bacilli; Caryophanales; Anoxybacillaceae.